GUCAAACUUUGUUAACAUUGACCAAAUUUAUAGAAAAAUGCACCAACAGACAACACCAAAUUAGUUUAAUUAAAUUUUCCAUACAAUAAGCUUUGAUAGAGCAAUUUUUUGAGAAGUAGAUGUUAAUAUAUUUUUCUAAAAACUUGGCCAAAGUUAGAGAAGUUUGACUU
This 170-nucleotide microRNA precursor is filed under the name Sorghum bicolor (sorghum). RNAcentral's name for it is "miR437l stem-loop (sbi-MIR437l)". Its record names the gene sbi-MIR437l. The record is from miRBase by way of RNAcentral. Lineage: Eukaryota; Viridiplantae; Streptophyta; Magnoliopsida; Poales; Poaceae.